RNAcentral lists this ribosomal RNA (300 nucleotides) under uncultured bacterium. Its description in RNAcentral is "bacterial SSU rRNA". It matches the Rfam family "Bacterial small subunit ribosomal RNA", at positions 399 to 691 of the family's 1533-position model. The record is from RNAcentral.
GCGUGCGGGAAGAAGGCCUUCGGGUUGUAAACCGCUUUUGUCGGGGACGAAAUCUCUCAAGCUAAUACCUUGAGGGGAUGACGGUACCCGAAGAAUAAGCACCGGCUAACUACGUGCCAGCAGCCGCGGUAAUACGUAGGGUGCAAGCGUUAAUCGGAAUUACUGGGCGUAAAGCGUGCGCAGGCGGCUUUGCAAGACAGGUGUGAAAUCCCCGGGCUUAACCUGGGAACCGCACUUGUGACUGCAAGGCUUGAGUGCGGCAGAGGGGGAUGGAAUUCCGCGUGUAGCAGUGAAAUGCGU